Molecule: long non-coding RNA, 383 nt
Organism: Mustela lutreola (European mink)
Lineage: Eukaryota; Metazoa; Chordata; Mammalia; Carnivora; Mustelidae
Exons: 3
Source: RefSeq, a predicted model, not a curated record
UGUCUAAGUAGGCCCUAGAGAAAGAUUGUUGCGUUGACGUCUCAGCUCCAACAUUGUGUGUAUGACCUUGGACCUUGCUUAACUUCUCCAAGCUUCAUUUCCUUCAUCUAUAAAAAUUUGAAUAAUAAAGGUUGAGAUGCUGUGGUGGAGGGAAAUUUUUUAAAAAAGGUGUUUCUGAGAUUCCAAAAAUGCUGGCUUCUUCCUGUGGACGCCGCAUGCAGACAGUUACAGUGCUCUCUUCUGGUGGAGAUGCAUCAUUAUUCUCUACAUGUUUCAGAUGAUAAUCUCUGUGCUGCUCUUCUCAUGAUGCAAGAAUUCAGUAACAUAUCACUGAAUAUCUCCUGUGUGAAAGACGUUGGCCUGGGAGGACUUUUAGAGACGCG